UACGUAGGGUGCGAGCGUUAAUCGGAAUUACUGGGCGUAAAGCGAGCGCAGGCGGCUUUGUAAGACAGAUGUGAAAUCCCCGGGCUUAACCUGGGCACUGCAUUUGUGACUGCAAGGCUAGAGUGUGUCAGAGGGAGGUGGAAUUCCACGUGUAGCAGUGAAAUGCGCAGAGAUGUGGAGGAACACCGAUGGCGAAGGCAGCCUCCUGGGAUAACACUGACGCUCAUGCUCGAAAGCGUGGGGAGCAAACAGG
RNAcentral lists this ribosomal RNA (253 nucleotides) under uncultured bacterium. RNAcentral describes it as "partial 16S ribosomal RNA". It matches the Rfam family "Bacterial small subunit ribosomal RNA", at positions 524 to 776 of the family's 1533-position model. The record is from RNAcentral.